Long non-coding RNA from Zea mays, 644 nucleotides. RefSeq lists it as uncharacterized. NCBI's taxonomy places the organism in Eukaryota, Viridiplantae, Streptophyta, Magnoliopsida, Poales, Poaceae. The record is from RefSeq and is marked validated. The transcript is spliced from 2 exons.
GCGUCGGGGCCGUCACGUGGCCCGUGCCGCCUGCCGCCGCAACUUGCUGCCCGCGACCGAAUGGUGGUUGGUCACCGGCUUUCCGCUUCGGGGCGUGGCGGUGGCGGCGGCUGGCCAGCGCCCGCACACGCGUGCGGCGCAUGACGGCCGGUCCGGUCACGGUCAGCGUCGGCUCGAGCUUUUUAGGUCUGGUGUGGUGGGUGCUACCUGCCCUGCGCAUCGCAACUGGCAAGGACAGGAGAUAGCGUCUCAAGAUCAGAUCAGGAUAUGUUUCCAAUCCAUGGCGCACUCCUCUGCAAGCAUGACCAAAGUGAAAGAUCGGAAUGAUACGUCUCCAGCCGGCAUCUACGAAUACAGCGAAUCCCUUUGCAGCUGGGAGGAACUGAGCUCUCAUCGUUGACAUCCAGUUGCUUGUCGCGGUGCCGCGAUCGAACUGCUUGCUGAUGGUCGAAGGGGCGUGACUGUUGGACUUCUCUAUCGCUACGAGGACCAGAUGUGGCCCAAACCCAAGGCAGAAAAUGUGCCACGGCCCGGGCCUAAUUCCGCCUGCCCCGGACGACAUUUUUUUUUUCUUUUGCAUGAGGGGCCGUUGGAUCGCUUCAUUUUGGUGGAAUUGGAGUCUUAUUAAUAAAGUAUGUUAUUUG